CAGGAGGCCAAGGGUACUGGAGGCACAGACGGGGGCCCGUGGGGGCAGGACAGCAGCCUCCCCGAGGCACAUGGCUGAGUGCUGAGCUGGGAAGGCACCAUCGUAAUGCCCUGGAGGGCCAGACUUGAAAUGAGAACUCUUACAAAACCACACCAGAGCACAGCCCACCUCCCUUCUCUUCCCUGACUGUGCCCCCCAGCAGAGGACCCUGGCCCACAGCCAAGCCACAUCCAUGCCACUCCUGCGAACAGCCACUUGUAAGUGGGUCAAGGGGUGGGCACAGAGGCAGAAUGGUCCCCUCAGGACAUCCUGGGAACGGCCCUGCACAGGCCUUGACAGCAAGCUUAGAGGUGUCUGUGCCAGGAAUGCUGGGUACCCAAGUGUGGUCAAGAAAGAGUUGCAAAGAGCCCCCAGACUCCUCACUGUGGGGAGAGGAGCCUUCCGGAGUGGGGGCCAGUGGGGCCCUUCUUUCCUGGGUCUCGGGGCAGUACCCUUAGAAAGACCCAAAUGUCUAUGCCAUGUCCCCUGGAAGUCAGCCUGUGUCAGUGCCCAAGAAAGCCCCCCUCCCUAUGGGGGUCAGGGAGGAAAGUCUUGCCCUUGCUUGCCCAGAGCUCAUAGUCUGGCUGGGGAAGGAAGCCGCACCCAGGAAAGGGACUUGGGAACAUGUAUAUAGAAACCCAGCAACAGAGGAAGGCAAGCAGGGCACAAUGGGGAGGUGAGUAGAGAGGCUGGUCCAGGCUCUGAGCACCCCCAGCCCAGAUGCUGCUGUGGGGCUGGACAGCACGGCUGGUAGCAGAGCCCACAGCCACAAGCAUGCCGUUCUCCUCCCACCCCUGGCUUGUCAAGGCAGCAGGAAUUCUGCUGAAAGUUUCUUUAGUUGAGGAGGGUAUCAAAGUCUAGGGCAUCUCUGGAAGCACCCUGAGUGGGGUCUCCCUGGCUAAAGGGCUCCCCAGGAUGCAACUGUGUUGCCGCCAUCACAAGGGGCUGUGGAGACCGGCAAUGCUCCUCCUCUGAUGAAGGCAACCUUCCCUGUGCUCCUCUUUCAAGCCCUGGGAUACCCCCAGUUCCUUGCUUCUGUCAUGCCUAAGACACACAGGUGGACUCAGAGUAACACAAAUUGGCUCGUAUGUCCAGCUGUCUCGGUCUAUCUCUACGUGGACACAUCCAAAACCUGUUUCCAUCUCACAAUUGGUGUCGCUGUUCGUGAGGCUGAGCAACAAAAACCCACCAGCCAGCCGUGAGUGAGUCUCUCAUCCCUCCCCACAUCCCAUCAAUCCAGGUGGUUUUGGCUCUACUGCCUAAGUGGACAUCUCAAAGCCAUUUACUUCCCUCCAAUCCCAAUAUGACCCCAAUCUAAACACCCGCAAGAUGACAGCCCCAACCUCUUGAUGAGGCUCCCCGCCCCUCCAAGCCACUCUCAACCAAGCAGCUAGAAAGACCUCUUGGAGACAUAAAUCAGACCAUGUCACUCUCUUACCAUAAACCUUCCAAUGACUUCCCACUGCACCCAUGAAUACACUCCAAAUGCCAACUGUGGCCCUCGGCAUCUCGGCUCCCAACUACCGGCCUCCCUGACUCUGCCCAAAGCCAUCUCUGGCCACAGCGGCCUUCCUUCAUGUCCUUGAAUGCCCCAGGCCAGUUCGUGCUUGCCCCAGGCCCUCAGUACUGGGCUUGCUCUUCCAUCUGCCUGCGUGCUGCCUCCAGCUCCUUCUUGUCAUCCUGUCUUGGCUCAAAAGCCACUUCCAUGGAAAGGAAGGACACUGGAUCCCUGUGUGUGACACAGCCAAGGGCUCUCCCUUCCCAUUCUCACUGUGACUCUUUGCCCUGAUGAAUUUCCUUCCUGGAGUUCUCACUAUCUGAAAUGACAUUCACUGACUUGCGUGCUGCUGCACGAGGCAGGGCUCCUCUCUACUUCUCACUUCUGUGUUCCUCCAUGCUUAGCACAAGCAGGCAUCAAAAAUAUCUGCUGAUUGCCUGAAUAAAUGCGCGUACAUCUAAAUGAAUGAGUGGGUACCAUAUGGGAGCUCAAGGAAGCCUCCGGGCAUGGCUAGAAAGAGUCCCAGACUGUCACAGGCCACAGUAACUGCUCCUUUGGACAGAUCACGCUGGGCCUUAAAGACAGAGCAUCGAAGGUGGCAUGUUUUCCUGCAAUGACCUCCUUUCCUUCUGUAUCGCCUUUAUCUUUUCAUUACUCCUUUUCUUCUAAGAUCAGGUCCUUGUCUAAUUGUGCCUUUAUCGUGAUCUCAGCAAUGAACACGGCACAGAGCAUGUGGUAAGGUUUCAGGAACUGAGAAGGGCUUCGUGAUGAAGGUGAAGGCAAUGGUGACAGUGACGAGAAUGGUGGUCAGCAGGGCUCCUGCUAGUGUAGACAGUGGAAGAACAAAAAGGUACCCGCUCUGGGCAGAUGCAGCCCACAGGGAACCUACCCUUGUCCCUGUGGGAAGAACCAAGGUGCCUUCUCCUGCAGGGGACACAGACUUCCGUGUCCUACUGAGAGCAUGGUGGUGGUGAAGCCUGGAACUGCGGUGAGGAGGACUGUGGGCACUGGGGUGGUGGGUGCAGGUGGCAGGGCUGGAGAGGUGUGUUUCAGGUGGUUUUUAGACACCACAAAGCUGGAGCGCCAACAACGCACAGUCUGAGCUGCCUGGGAAGAGCUGGUGGGGGCACAUCCAUUCAGGUUAGGGGGUGCCCUAGAUUUGAGGACACUCACCUCACCUGCACCACUCUCCAGCACCUGGGAAGUGGUUGCCGAGAACAAGGCUGGACGUUGCUGGGAGAGGCUGCUAAACACUGGUGUGUCCCCACUGUUGGCUGGGGCCACAGGCCACCGGAGAGUCAGUUGCACCAGGCAAAUAUUUGCCUUGCUCUUUAUAUUUCAUUAGAACUCCCUCUUACGAUGUUGGUUCUGACUGCAGGGGUUGAGCACCUUCAUUUCCAGGCCACUACAAGCCUUGCCCGUCAGGCGGUCCAGGCAGCUCACUCUGCCACACAUGGAACUUGGGGAAGCCCUGCUCUCACUCCUUCUGCAGUUUCUCAACUGCAGUGCAAGGACAGAGCCACUGCCUUUUCCACCCCGAGCCUCAGUUUCCUCAUCUGUGGAAUGGGUAAUUGCCAGAUCUCAGGGCUAUCAUGGGGGUCAGGUGAGAUCAUAUCCACCACUAGCACAUGGUAGGCACUCAGGACAUGUUGGUUCCUUUCCUUCCCUCUCUUUCCCAGCCCUCCCAACAAAGAGUUGAUUUCUCAGUCCCAAGGAGAGGCCAGAAAUUGGAGGUCUGGCUGCUGCUGUUUCCACCAAGGCCUCUUCCUGGGGCCUGAUUGAAUCCUCUCCUGUGGAUUCAUUUUCUCCUCAUGGAAGAACAACUUCCACCUGUGUCUCAAGAACAAGUGUCUGCGUUGAAGACAGCAACCCCAGGCCUGGCAGAACAGGCUGCUGCAUAUGCAUGCUGGGUGCAGUUUGAAGGCAGCUGCACUGAGGGUCAUGCCGGGUCCCAUCCUGGGUGCAGGAGACAGGGCCAGUACCCACGCCCCAGGACCUCUCCUUGUGUCAUCUCCACUUCUCGCAGAUGCCAAGCACCUGAUUCUGAGAUGAGGCAAUCAAGGUCUACAGGAUGAGGGGACUCAUCAGAGGCCACACAGCAGCCCCAGCUGGCCUUCUGCCUCCAGCCCCUCUUUGGCCACUUCAGGCUGCCAAGGGAGAGGAGAGACUUCUGGGAUGGGUCACUGGAGUGCUGAGCCUUGCAGGGUAACGUCCAAAGAAGGGUAACCAUGGUUUCUAACAAUAGCCUCCAUGCCUGGAACAAGCUCACACCUCGGAGGGAGGGAGGAGGCAUGGCUGGAGAGGCUCGGGAGGGAGUCUGCUGACCCAGAUCGCCCAGGAUGGAGGCAAGAGGCUUGCAUCCUCCAAGAUGGUGGCCCACCUGCGCUGACUCACAAGACUGCCUGACUGCCACCAACACUUAGGAGAUCUCCUGGGGGCCUGGUCUGGGCCCGGCUGGGGGAGGCAGUAGAAGCCUGGGGUCAGGAGUCUAGCUUCUUGCAGUGCCAGGCAGCCUGGGGCAAGCUUUCCCCAGUCUGUGGGAGGCAAGCUCCCUAGCCCCAACCGAGGGCAUCCUCCUUCACGUUCCGUGAGCUACAACAAGGUCUUCAGAAUCAGCUAACAUAAACCUUGCCAAGGCAGAUGGGAGCUGGGGACUGGGCCCCAGGGAGCCACAGCUUCAGAGAACAUCAUUAUGUGCCUCACAAGUGGGGAAACUGAGGCCCAAAGGAGGAAAGAGACUCAUAGAGGGACUUGAAAGAGGAGAUUAGGGCAGGGUUUUCUGUACUAAAUACUCUCCUCAGCUCUCAUGUGGACCUAGGGCUCCAAAGGGUCUUUCUGCUGCUGCCUCUGGGCCAAGCAGAGGUGGGAGAAGCCCCCGGGCUGGAGUGGCCUGCUAUGGUCCUGGAGACAGGGUUCCUGGGGCCAGCUGGGAAACCCCAGUCCAAUCUCAGGGGUCCAGUGAGAGCCCUAGGCUGGCCAGUGUGCCCGGCAGAAACUAGCUCAAAGCAAUUUUCUUCCCAGCUGGUAGGAGAGAUAAAGGUUUGUGUGUGGAAGGGUGAGAGUCAUCCAUCUGGCCUCCUGGGAUCUUCUUCCUCCCCACGAGAUGGGGCGGCACGUCUAGUUCAGAGGCCUGACUCAAGGCCUCCUGGGGCCUCUGCCUCCCCCAGAGAAAGGCCAGGACCAGCGCCUGACCAGUUCUGGGUGCCCAAGAGGGUGGCCUGGCCAGGGUGGCAGUGGGGACAGGAGCCCUGGGCCUGAGCUCCCAGGAUGCAUAAUGUGGGGACGUGAAAGACAAGCUUAGCUCCAACCCACGACUCACCCUGUCCAGCCACUGGCAUCUCUGCCAACUCCUACAAAAGACCACAGCCCUCAGGCCCUGGAGGAGUAAGGUCAGCCCCUGGGAGGCUGAGGCCUGGAGACACGAAUGGAUGCUGGAGGAGGGAAAGAGCUGGCGUGUCUCUGCUUUUCAUGGCAGUCUAGCUGUGGGUCCAAGACAUGCAGAAGGUUGGGGGUUUCUCAGGGUCUGAGGGAGCCAACCUGGUCCUACAUUUCCACCUGCGACGGAAACCAGGAGACAAGUGUGUCAGAGCAUGAGGGGAAACACGCCUCCAUCUUUCCUUCACAGCCCCUCAGAGUGGACCCAGCCGCACCCUCCAGAGUCACUGUCCCCUCUCAGCCCUCAGCUCAGACCACCUGCCACAUCUCUGCACAUCUCUGUCUCACAGGCACCUCCAACUCAACCUGUUGCACAGAUCUCCUCCCCUGCCACUGCCCUCCCACUCUCUGCCAACAGUCGUCCUAGUCCUUUGAUCCCAGCGCCCACCCAGGCCAGCACAGGUGGGUGCCCGGCAAGCACUUGCUGGACUGAAUGAAGUCCAGUCCCCCAUGGAGGGGCCCCAGCCAUGAAAGGAAACAAUCGUAGAAUCAAAGUCAUUCCCUUUCCAUCUGAGAAGGCGGGAAGUGCAUGGAACAGGAAGACAGGAGGCCUAGGCCAAAAGCCCUACCACUGGGGCGGCUGGCCUUUCUGAUCUUCAGUUUCCUCACUUGACACAUGAGGAUCAUAAAUCUUGCCCUGUUUCUCUUGACAGCUAAGUAUGGGGAACCAAGGAAAUGUUACUAAGACAACUUGGUGGGGAGGGAGCCAGUGUUCACAGCCCCUAGGAUCCCUUUACAGUUUCUGAGCACAAGACUCCAACUUGCCCGCGUGAUUUCACUCUCUACAGCCAGCGGCCGCACCUUUUGUCAGAGGCCUGCCCGGGCUGCUGGAAACUGCUUUGGCUGUGAGUGCUGAGGGCUGGCAGUGCCUUGAACCAAUGACUGACAGGUAAGGGGAUAUAAACAUUCCAACUCCCUUGCCCUGACUGGGACAACUCCAAGGUGUGGCGCACACUAUCCUCAGAUCCCAUAGGGCUGAGGCAAACAGCCAUCCACAGGACACCCUCCAAUGUCCAACCAUUGCUUGGCUUCCUGCCUUUCCCUGUCCCUCUCCCCAGUCCCCUUACCAGAUUUUCCUGGGAAUGCAUCCCCAAAACAUCCCUUUCAUGCAAAUCUUUGUCUCAGGUUCUGCUCAGGAAGAACCCAAACUAAGAGAGUUGCCAACAAAAUUUGUAUAAAAAUCCAGAUUUCCAUUUCUCAUAAUGCUAUAGAUCUAGCAACCCUGGGCCCAUUCCCACUUGACAAAAAUUAGCUGGAGCUGCAUAGAGGCCACCCAAUAUAACGGAGAUGUUCUCUAGUUCUUCUCAUCCACCACACUGUCUACUGUCCCCCAACUGGCCCUUUUCACCCAUCCCUAUUCCCUGCCUGUCCCCAACAAGUUUAUGGGUUUACAAACCCUACAACAUAACGCAGUGGUUAAUAAUGUGGGCUCUAGAGGUGAUCGGCUUAAGUUCACAUUCCAGGUUCACAAAUUACUAAUCAUGCAACCUUGUAUAAGUCACUUAAUAUUUCUGUCUGUUUCUUCAGGUGAAAAAUGAGUAUAUACAUGUACCUAUAUGGUUCCCUCUAUAGCUGUUACACACUUCAUUGAGAUACUGCAUGUAAAGUAUCCAGCACAUGAUAAGAGGUCAAGAACUUACUAGUAUUUGUCCUCUUGGAGCAGGUGUGCCUGCCACAAUCUGACAGCCUAUGUUCAAUUAUCUGAGGUUCCCUGCCAGUUCCUCACUCCCUCUGUGGGGAGUGGCCUUUCCCCCAAGAGGUUUGCACUGACC
Molecule: long non-coding RNA, 6744 nt
Filed under: Homo sapiens (human)
Lineage: Eukaryota; Metazoa; Chordata; Mammalia; Primates; Hominidae
Description: HSALNT0382185
Source: RNAcentral